This 27-nucleotide non-coding RNA is filed under the name Bombyx mori (domestic silkworm). Lineage: Eukaryota; Metazoa; Arthropoda; Insecta; Lepidoptera; Bombycidae. The record is from RNAcentral.
UCACAAAUGCAGGUCGAGGUUCACUUC